UUUUUUGUGGAGAGUUUGAUCCUGGCUCAGGACGAACGCUGGCGGCGUGCUUAACACAUGCAAGUCGAACGGAAAGGCCAGUGCUUGCACUGGUACUCGAGUGGCGAACGGGUGAGUAACACGUGGGUGAUCUGCCUUGCACUCUGGGAUAAGCUUGGGAAACUGGGUCUAAUACCGGAUAUGAGCCGCUUUUAGUGUGGUGGUUGGAAAGUUUUU
Molecule: ribosomal RNA, 216 nt
Filed under: Corynebacterium sp. HMSC074H12
Lineage: Bacteria; Bacillati; Actinomycetota; Actinomycetes; Mycobacteriales; Corynebacteriaceae
Description: partial 16S ribosomal RNA
Rfam family: Bacterial small subunit ribosomal RNA
Source: RNAcentral